UAGAAAAUAGUUGUAAACAUGGAAGUUACCUGUCAAAGUAAAAACUCGAUUAUUUUUUAUUAAUUCGGGUAUAGUCUGUAAAUCGGCUAUUCCAGAGUUUACAUAAAUAUUUAGUUUAAAGAAAUGCUUUAUCUAUUUGAAGAGAAUUUUGAUUACAACUUACUUUUGAAUUCUGAAAAAUUGACAUCUGAGGAUGCAUGGAUUCAAAAUAAAACGCGCCUACAAAGUUGUUUGAAAUGGCUCUGUACUUCACCGAAAAUUAGUUCAUACAGGGUGAAUACCUUAUUGUACACGACGGAAGAAAUUAUGGAAAAAUUAAAACAAAAUGUUGUAAAGAUAUCCAAAAAUAGAAAGAUUUCAAUUCCUAAUGUUUGUAUUUACCAAA
Long non-coding RNA from Agrilus planipennis (emerald ash borer), 385 nucleotides. RefSeq lists it as uncharacterized. NCBI's taxonomy places the organism in Eukaryota, Metazoa, Arthropoda, Insecta, Coleoptera, Buprestidae. The transcript has 3 exons. The record is from RefSeq and is a predicted model, not a curated record.